UUUACAGAAUCAAGAGAAUGUUAGCUCUGUCUAAUGGAGAAUUCAUAUUGAAGAAAGGCAUACUAAAUGUUUUGUCUCAGAGUCCCACUUAUGGUACGUGUCCAAAUAGGUAUUGCCC
Etheostoma spectabile (orangethroat darter) is the source of this 118-nucleotide long non-coding RNA. RefSeq lists it as uncharacterized. The transcript has 3 exons. Lineage: Eukaryota; Metazoa; Chordata; Actinopteri; Perciformes; Percidae. The record is from RefSeq and is a predicted model, not a curated record.